GGAUGCGAUCAUACCAGCACUAAAGCACCGGAUCCCUUCAGAACUCUGAAGUUAAGCGUGCUUGGGCGAGAGUAGUACUAGGUUGGGUGACCUCCUGGGAAGUCCUCGUGUUGCAUUCC
Molecule: ribosomal RNA, 119 nt
Filed under: Aegilops tauschii subsp. strangulata
Lineage: Eukaryota; Viridiplantae; Streptophyta; Magnoliopsida; Poales; Poaceae
Source: RNAcentral